CAGUCGCCGCGGGAAUACGUAGGGUGCAAGCGUUAAUCGGAAUUACUGGGCGUAAAGCGUGCGCAGGCGGUUAUAUAAGUCAGAUGUGAAAUCCCCGGGCUCAACCUGGGAACUGCAUUUGAGACUGUAUGGCUAGAGUGUGUCAGAGGGGGGUAGAAUUCCACGUGUAGCAGUGAAAUGCGUAGAGAUCGGGAGGAACAUCAGUGGCGAAGGCGGCCAUCUGGGACAACACUGACGCUGAGGCACGAAAGCGUGGGGAGCAAACAGGAUUAGAUACCCCGGUAGUCCCUGUCUCUUAUAC
RNAcentral lists this ribosomal RNA (301 nucleotides) under uncultured bacterium. RNAcentral describes it as "partial 16S ribosomal RNA". It matches the Rfam family "Bacterial small subunit ribosomal RNA", at positions 509 to 807 of the family's 1533-position model. The record is from RNAcentral.